AUUGAACGCUGGCGGCAUGCCUUACACAUGCAAGUCGAACGGCGCCACGGGUGCUUGCACCUGGUGGCGAGUGGCGAACGGGUGAGUAAUAUAUCGGAACGUACCUUAUUGUGGGGGAUAACGCAGCGAAAGCUGUGCUAAUACCGCAUAAUCCCUAAGGGGAAAAGCGGGGGACCGUAAGGCCUCGCGCAAUUAGAGCGGCCGAUACCUGAUUAGCUAGUUGGUGAGGUAAAGGCUCACCAAGGCAACGAUCAGUAGCUGGUCUGAGAGGACGAGCAGCCACACUGGGACUGAGAAACGGCCCAAACUCCUACGGGAGGCAGCAGUGGGGAAUAUUGGACAAUGGGGGCAACCCUGAUCCAGCAAUGCCGCGUGAGUGAAGAAGGCCUUCAGGUUGUAAAGCUCUUUUGUGAGGGAAGAAACAGCAGCUCUAACACAAUUUGCGAAUGACGGUACCUGAAGAAUAAGCACCGGCUAACUACGUGCCAGCAGCCGCAGUAA
This 501-nucleotide ribosomal RNA is filed under the name uncultured bacterium. RNAcentral describes it as "partial 16S ribosomal RNA". It matches the Rfam family "Bacterial small subunit ribosomal RNA", at positions 30 to 523 of the family's 1533-position model. The record is from RNAcentral.